CCCGGUGGUUAUUGAGCGGAGGAUACACCUGUUCCCAUUCCGAACACAGAAGUUAAGCUCCGCAUCGCUGAUGGUACUGCGUGGGUGACUGCGUGGGAGAGUAGGUCACUGCCGGGU
Chitinivibrio alkaliphilus ACht1 is the source of this 117-nucleotide ribosomal RNA. Lineage: Bacteria; Pseudomonadati; Fibrobacterota; Chitinivibrionia; Chitinivibrionales; Chitinivibrionaceae. The record is from Rfam.